AAGUCGUAACAAGGUUUCCGUAGGUGAACCUGCGGAAGGAUCAUUAGUGAAUAAACAAGUGUAGGUUGUGCUGGCCUUCUUGGUAUGUGCACGCCUGCUAAAGUUUCAUUCUAUCUUCCCACCUGUGCACUUUGUGUAGAUUCUGUAUACUAUUGUCAGGCUCUUUGACUGAGCUUGGUUGAGAGAAGUUGCUUGUUCUAUUGGACAGGCUCUUCUUGGGUAUGCAGGUCUAUGUUUUAUAUCAACACCAUAUGAAUGUAAUAGAAUGUGCUUUGGGCUUUUUAGCCUUUAAAAACAUAUACAA
This 304-nucleotide unclassified non-coding RNA is filed under the name plant metagenome. RNAcentral's name for it is "partial contains small subunit ribosomal RNA and internal transcribed spacer 1". The stretch from base 1 to 46 matches the Rfam family "Eukaryotic small subunit ribosomal RNA", at positions 1786 to 1831 of the family's 1831-position model. The record is from RNAcentral.